GAUCAUACAGAUGUCAGCUGCCUGAGAGCUAGGAUAACAGGCGUGAGCCACCAGUGCCUGGCUUUUAAUGCAAAUAGGGAUUAUUACAAUUUGUGGUUUAUGUAGUUUGGUUUUGUUUUUUAUUCCUAGUCAGUCAAGAAAGAUCCUCAAGAAAGUAAUCCCUAACCUUUUACUCAGGAUUGUACAGUAUGUUUGAGUUCUAAAACAAUGACCUAAGCUUAUGUUAUAAAAUGCUAGUGAUUUAUAUAUCAUUUAGUGUGGAGGUACUGAAAAUAUUUAUUUUGUUAUACAUAAUUUUAUAGCAAGUUUACUCUAGCACUAACAAUUUGUAGUAAAGCCAAGACAAUUCUUGGCAUUAGUAGAGGAAGGACAUGAAACUGAUAAUCCUAAACCUAAUUCAAAUUCGGCUUUGGAAUGCAGUGUGUUUGAUGGUUGGUCAAUUAGUACUUUAAUCUUGUUUUGUGUGGGUCAGUGUUGAACCUAUUUGGCAUCCUACACACUAACAGUUGUAGGAAAUCCAUGAGCAUGCUGGAUAUUGGACAGAUUCAAUCUGUGGUAGGUCUCUUACUGUAGAUAACUUCUUACAUUUAAUCCCAGAUAAUUUGGCUAUAACUUUUGUCUGUUUUCCAUUUGCAUUUCUGUUUUAUUUUAAAAUUAAAAAUGGAUCAACUAUAUUCUUAUUUAAAAAUCCAGAGCCAUUUACAAAAUGUUAGUAAGUAGAAACAGAACUCAUAAAAGCACAAUAUAAAAGCAUACCAAUAUAAAGUACUUUUUGGUAUGACAGAUAUGUUGGUUACUCAUGAAGUCUCUUUGGCAAGUUAAAAUUUGUGACUAUGGUAUAUAAAUGGCAAAACUCUUUCCUAGCCUUUGAAUCCACUAGUACUCAAUGGGUGUAGCCGAAGCAGGGAGCUUGUAAGUAUACCAUACAAGUUCUUCAGCAAGAUACAUCAUUUUCAUGCUAUAAUUGUGCCUACAUGGCCUCUUUUCAUGUAAGAAUUCUUUUCACUAAUAAGAGAAGAGGUUAUGCCUAAAAGAAAUGAUGGACCAAAAUCAAGAUCAUACAGUACUGAAAUAGUAUUUUUAAAACCUUAUGCCCUUAUGGUGCUGUGG
Dipodomys ordii (Ord's kangaroo rat) is the source of this 1110-nucleotide long non-coding RNA. RefSeq lists it as uncharacterized. Lineage: Eukaryota; Metazoa; Chordata; Mammalia; Rodentia; Heteromyidae. The record is from RefSeq and is a predicted model, not a curated record. The transcript is spliced from 3 exons.